CUACGAAGGGGGCUAGCGUUGUUCGGAAUUACUGGGCGUAAAGCGCGCGUAGGCGGAUUGGUCAGUUAGGGGUGAAAUCCCAGGGCUUAACCCUGGAACUGCCUCUAAUACUGCCAGUCUUGAGUUCGGGAGAGGUGAGUGGAAUUCCUAGUGUAGAGGUGAAAUUCGUAGAUAUUAGGAAGAACACCAGUGGCGAAGGCGGCUCACUGGCCCGAUACUGACGCUGAGGCGCGAAAGCGUGGGGAGCAAACAGGAUUAGAUACCCUUGUAGUCC
Molecule: ribosomal RNA, 274 nt
Filed under: uncultured bacterium
Lineage: Bacteria
Description: partial 16S ribosomal RNA
Rfam family: Bacterial small subunit ribosomal RNA
Source: RNAcentral